GCAGCAGGCCAGACGAUCGCCGCGCUGAAGCGCCCGCAAGGGCGCGACGGCGGGGAGGAAAGUCCGAACUCCGCAGGGCAGUGCGCCGGCUAACUCCCGGUCAGGGCAACCUGAAGGAUUAGUGGCACAGAAAAAAUACCGCCCCGGCAAGUGGGGCAGCUGCAGGUAAGUGGGACAGUCACACUUUUCGCUGAGACGCCGGAGAAAAGUGUGACUGUCCCACUUACCUGUGUGACUGUCCCACUUGUCGAGGUAAGGGUGAAAAGGUGCGGUAAGAGCGCACCGCGUCUCCGGUAACGGGGACGGCAGGCAAAACCCCGCACGGAGCAAGACCAAAUAGGGAGGCGCUACAGGACGGCCCGUCCGAAGCCUCCGGGUAGGUCGCACGAGCGCGCCAGCGAUGGCGCGCCUAGAGGAAUGAUCGUCGCGCCGAAGCCCGCCGAAGCGCCUCCGAAAGGAGGCGCAGGGGCGGGUGGAGGCGGACAAAAUUCGGCUUACGGCCUGCUGCGGCG
RNAcentral lists this RNase P RNA (512 nucleotides) under Acidobacteriota bacterium. RNAcentral's name for it is "Acidobacteria bacterium (groundwater metagenome) RNase P RNA component class A". It matches the Rfam family "Bacterial RNase P class A". Rfam says of the family: Ribonuclease P (RNase P) is a ubiquitous endoribonuclease, found in archaea, bacteria and eukarya as well as chloroplasts and mitochondria. Its best characterised activity is the generation of mature 5'-ends of tRNAs by cleaving the 5'-leader elements of precursor-tRNAs. Cellular RNase Ps are ribonucleoproteins. Lineage: Bacteria; Pseudomonadati; Acidobacteriota. The record is from RNAcentral.